Molecule: ribosomal RNA, 462 nt
Filed under: uncultured bacterium
Lineage: Bacteria
Description: partial 16S ribosomal RNA
Rfam family: Bacterial small subunit ribosomal RNA
Source: RNAcentral
GACGAACGCUGGCGGCGUGCUUAACACAUGCAAGUCGAACGGUAAGGCCUUUCGGGGUACCCGAGUGGCGAACGGGUGAGUAACACGUGGGUGAUCUGCCCUGCACUUCGGGAUAAGCCCGGGAAACUGGGUCUAAUACCGGAUAGGACUGCGCGGUGCAUGCCGUGUGGUGGAAAGAUUUAUCGGUGCAGGAUGGGCCCGCGGCCUAUCAGCUUGUUGGUGGGGUAAUGGCCUACCAAGGCGACGACGGGUAGCCGGCCUGAGAGGGCUACCGGCCACACUGGGACUGAGACACGGCCCAGACUCCUACGGGAGGCAGCAGUGGGGAAUAUUGCACAAUGGGCGCAAGCCUGAUGCAGCGACGCCGCGUGAGGGAUGACGGCCUUCGGGUUGUAAACCUCUUUCAGCAGGGACGAAGCGUGAGUGACGGUACCUGCAGAAGAAGCACCGGCCAACUACGUG